AGUAGAAUUCAGCUUAAAUUUGACUAGCAAGAAAGAAGUGAACCUGCCAAAGAAAAUUCUGCUCCCAGCAACAUUACAGAAUAAACCUUGAGUCAGCAAAACAAUACUCAAAAAAUGCUUGGAACUUCAGAAUCGAAUAAGUAAAAACUACUGCCGCCUGCC
Molecule: long non-coding RNA, 162 nt
Filed under: Phasianus colchicus (ring-necked pheasant)
Lineage: Eukaryota; Metazoa; Chordata; Aves; Galliformes; Phasianidae
Description: lncRNA (ENSPCLG00000013308.1)
Source: RNAcentral